RNAcentral lists this ribosomal RNA (612 nucleotides) under Serratia nematodiphila. RNAcentral's name for it is "bacterial SSU rRNA". It matches the Rfam family "Bacterial small subunit ribosomal RNA", at positions 33 to 634 of the family's 1533-position model. Lineage: Bacteria; Pseudomonadati; Pseudomonadota; Gammaproteobacteria; Enterobacterales; Yersiniaceae. The record is from RNAcentral.
ACGCUGGCGGCAGGCUUAACACAUGCAAGUCGAGCGGUAGCACAGGGGAGCUUGCUCCCCGGGUGACGAGCGGCGGACGGGUGAGUAAUGUCUGGGAAACUGCCUGAUGGAGGGGGAUAACUACUGGAAACGGUAGCUAAUACCGCAUAACGUCGCAAGACCAAAGAGGGGGACCUUCGGGCCUCUUGCCAUCAGAUGUGCCCAGAUGGGAUUAGCUAGUAGGUGGGGUAAUGGCUCACCUAGGCGACGAUCCCUAGCUGGUCUGAGAGGAUGACCAGCCACACUGGAACUGAGACACGGUCCAGACUCCUACGGGAGGCAGCAGUGGGGAAUAUUGCACAAUGGGCGCAAGCCUGAUGCAGCCAUGCCGCGUGUGUGAAGAAGGCCUUCGGGUUGUAAAGCACUUUCAGCGAGGAGGAAGGUGGUGAGCUUAAUACGUUCAUCAAUUGACGUUACUCGCAGAAGAAGCACCGGCUAACUCCGUGCCAGCAGCCGCGGUAAUACGGAGGGUGCAAGCGUUAAUCGGAAUUACUGGGCGUAAAGCGCACGCAGGCGGUUUGUUAAGUCAGAUGUGAAAUCCCCGGGCUCAACCUGGGAACUGCAUUUGAAACU